Molecule: non-coding RNA, 57 nt
Organism: Schistocephalus solidus
Lineage: Eukaryota; Metazoa; Platyhelminthes; Cestoda; Diphyllobothriidea; Diphyllobothriidae
Source: Rfam
GAACCCGUGGCUCAAUGGUUAGAGCGUUGGACUUCUGAUCAACGGGUCGCGGGUUCG